Long non-coding RNA from Alosa sapidissima (American shad), 721 nucleotides. RefSeq lists it as uncharacterized. Lineage: Eukaryota; Metazoa; Chordata; Actinopteri; Clupeiformes; Clupeidae. The record is from RefSeq and is a predicted model, not a curated record. The transcript is spliced from 3 exons.
UGUGUAAACACGGCAUUCACUCCUUUACAAACAGAAGAAGACGCGACAGUGGACACCGGGCUUCGCACCUCUCGCUCUGUUGAAGAAAAAAACACCCUCCACACAGCGACGGCGCUGGAUCACUGCCACUAGUCACUGCCUUUCCUGACCACAGAUGACAUCAGUGACAUUUAUUCCAGACUGGUUGUGGAGGCAGCAGGCCUUCAGCCCACUAUUAGGCAAGAAGAGACCAGCAGCGCUGAAGAGGAAGUGAAGAGAUACCAGGAGGCUUCUCUGCCACUAGAAGAAAACCCCUCAACUGGUGGAAAGCUCAUGAGAUAAUGUAUCCUUACCUAGCCAAACUCGCUAAAAGAUACCUGAGCAUUCCAGGCACUAGUGCAUCUGCUGAUAGGGUGUUCUCCACUGCAGGAGAUAUAGUAACGGCCCAGGGGAGCACUUUAACAUCUGAGCAUGUUGAACAACUCCUUUUUCUAAACACAAAUGGCAAUAUUCCCAAAUGAAUUUUGGUUGAUGACCUUGCAGCCAACACAGGACUGGACUCUAGCAGUAUACAUUUUUGUUUAUUUUUCUCAAUUUGAUUGAAGCUCUAAGUUACUUCUAUGUAUAUGAUUACUCUCAGGUUUAUGUUCUUUCAUGUCUGCUUUAUGUUACUCUAUUGUAUUUAAAUAAUUUUAAGUUAUAUGCUGGGAGCUCCCCAUUCAUUCAUAUGUCCUGUCCUGUA